GCCUAAGGGUUCCUGAGGAAGGCUCGUCCGCUCAGGGUUAGUCAGGACCUAAGCCGAGGCCGACAGGCGUAGGCGAUGGACAACAGGUUGAUAUUCCUUUACCACCUCUUUAUCGUUUGAGCAAUGGAGGGACGCAGAAGGGUAAAAGUAUCGGUCGAUUGGGUGGGCACGUCCAAGAAGUUAGGCUGAAAAGUAAGCAAAUCCGCUUGUCGUGAAGGCUGAGCAGUGAGGGGGCAGGUCCUUAAGGAGCGAGGUGCUGGAUUCCCCACUGAAAAGAAAAGCUGAUGGCGAGGUAAAAGGUGCCUGUCGCGAAAACCCAGACAGGUAGGCGAGGCGAGAACCCU
RNAcentral lists this ribosomal RNA (344 nucleotides) under Bacillus anthracis (anthrax bacterium). RNAcentral's name for it is "partial 23S ribosomal RNA". It matches the Rfam family "Bacterial large subunit ribosomal RNA", at positions 1343 to 1682 of the family's 2925-position model. The record is from RNAcentral. Lineage: Bacteria; Bacillati; Bacillota; Bacilli; Caryophanales; Bacillaceae.